UUAUAAGAGACAGCAGUCGCCGCGGGAAUACGAAGGGUGCAAGCGUUACUCGGAAUUACUGGGCGUAAAGCGUGCGUAGGUGGUGGUUUAAGUCCGUUGUGAAAGCCCUGGGCUCAACCUGGGAAUUGCAGUGGAUACUGGGUCACUAGAGUGUGGUAGAGGAUAGUGGAAUUUCCGGUGUAGCAGUGAAAUGCGUAGAGAUCGGAAGGAACAUCUGUGGCGAAGGCGACUAUCUGGGCCAACACUGACACUGAGGCACGAAAGCGUGGGGAGCAAACAGGAUUAGAUACCCCCGUAGUCCCUGUCUCUUAUAC
RNAcentral lists this ribosomal RNA (314 nucleotides) under uncultured bacterium. Its description in RNAcentral is "partial 16S ribosomal RNA". It matches the Rfam family "Bacterial small subunit ribosomal RNA", at positions 499 to 807 of the family's 1533-position model. The record is from RNAcentral.